UCCGGUGACGAUGGCGGUGAGGAUCCACCUGUUCCCAUACCGAACACAGAAGUUAAGCUCACUUGCGUCGGAAGUACUUGCCUUUUAAGGCUGGGAGAUAUGAUAGUUGCCGGAU
This 115-nucleotide ribosomal RNA is filed under the name Clostridia bacterium. The record is from RNAcentral. Lineage: Bacteria; Bacillati; Bacillota; Clostridia.